RNAcentral lists this ribosomal RNA (253 nucleotides) under uncultured bacterium. RNAcentral describes it as "partial 16S ribosomal RNA". It matches the Rfam family "Bacterial small subunit ribosomal RNA", at positions 524 to 776 of the family's 1533-position model. The record is from RNAcentral.
UACGUAGGCAGCGAGCGCUGUUCGGAAUUACUGGGCGUAAAGAGUGUGUAGGCGGUGCUCCCAGUCUGUUGUGAAAUCUCCCGGCUUAACUGGGAGGGUGCAGCGGAAACUAGAGUGCUAGAGGGUGGGAGAGGUAAGCGGAAUUCCUGGUGUAGCGGUGAAAUGCGUAGAUAUCAGGAGGAACACCUGUGGUGUAGACAGCUUACUGGACCACUUCUGACGCUGAGACACGAAAGCGUGGGUAGCAAACAGG